GACGAACGCUGGCGGCGUGCUUAACACAUGCAAGUCGAACGGAAAGGCCCUGCUUUUGUGGGGUGCUCGAGUGGCGAACGGGUGAGUAACACGUGAGUAACCUGCCCUUGACUUUGGGAUAACUUCAGGAAACUGGGGCUAAUACCGGAUAGGAGCUCCUGCUGCAUGGUGGGGGUUGGAAAGUUUCGGCGGUUGGGGAUGGACUCGCGGCUUAUCAGCUUGUUGGUGGGGUAAUGGCUUACCAAGGCUUUGACGGGUAGCCGGCCUGAGAGGGUGACCGGCCACAUUGGGACUGAGAUACGGCCCAGACUCCUACGGGAGGCAGCAGUGGGGAAUAGUGCACAAUGGGCGGAAGCCUGAUGCAGCAACGCCGCGUGCGGGAUGACGGCCUUCGGGUUGUAAACCGCUUUCGCCUGUGACGAAGCGUGAGUGACGGUAAUGGGUAAAGAAGCACCGGCUAACUACGUG
Molecule: ribosomal RNA, 468 nt
Filed under: uncultured bacterium
Lineage: Bacteria
Description: partial 16S ribosomal RNA
Rfam family: Bacterial small subunit ribosomal RNA
Source: RNAcentral